CUCCGGUGUUCAUCAGAGACAUGACUUUGGGAAGGAACUGCCUAUGGUGACUGGAUUUUGGAAAAAGCCCUCUGUUGCACCGACCUAAAGAGAGUCUGGACCAGCAUGGACGGAGUGGCUUUCUUUACUUUCUCAGCUGUCAUUGUCUAGCUACAGCUGUAGGCGUGAUGGAUGGAAAUGUGUUCAUUCUGCUUGCAUCCUCAAGCACAUGUAAAGGUACAGAAAUGACAUCACAGGAGAUCGCCCUCUAGAGGCCGUAGCUCAUUUAAAUGGUCUGGUGUCAUUUUCUGCUUCUGUAAGGAAGCAUAGUGAUGGACCAGAGCUGCAACAUAAACUAUUUCUCUGUUGUUUCUAAACAAUGUUAUCUCUUAUUUGGCUUUAGUAAAUUGAACUGAUGAUUUUCAAUGUCCACUUUAAAGCACCUUUCUAUCUCCGUCUUUCAACAGUACUGCAUAUACAUACUUCCUCAACAAAGUAACAUGCUUAUAACAGUUGGAUAGU
This is a non-coding RNA of Poecilia reticulata (guppy), 501 nucleotides long. The record is from RefSeq and is a predicted model, not a curated record. NCBI's taxonomy places the organism in Eukaryota, Metazoa, Chordata, Actinopteri, Cyprinodontiformes, Poeciliidae.